RNAcentral lists this small nuclear RNA (166 nucleotides) under Microcebus murinus (gray mouse lemur). RNAcentral's name for it is "U2 spliceosomal RNA (ENSMICG00000024040.3)". The stretch from base 1 to 110 matches the Rfam family "U2 spliceosomal RNA". Rfam says of the family: U2 is a small nuclear RNA (snRNA) component of the spliceosome (involved in pre-mRNA splicing). Complementary binding between U2 snRNA (in an area lying towards the 5' end but 3' to hairpin I) and the branchpoint sequence (BPS) of the intron results the bulging out of an unpaired adenosine, on the BPS, which initiates a nucleophilic attack at the intronic 5' splice site, thus starting the first of two transesterification reactions that mediate splicing. Lineage: Eukaryota; Metazoa; Chordata; Mammalia; Primates; Cheirogaleidae. The record is from RNAcentral.
CCUGCUCCCUGGCCUUGUGGCUAAGAUCAAGUGUAUGUAUCUGUUCUUAUCAGUUUAAUAUCUGAAAUAAAGUUAAAGUAAUUCCUCAUGACCAGGUUGGAUUAAUCCCAGAAAUGCAAAAUUAGUUCAACAUUAGUCAAUCAAUUAAUGUAAUGAACCACACUGA